RNAcentral lists this ribosomal RNA (1387 nucleotides) under Lactiplantibacillus plantarum. RNAcentral describes it as "bacterial SSU rRNA". It matches the Rfam family "Bacterial small subunit ribosomal RNA", at positions 69 to 1432 of the family's 1533-position model. The record is from RNAcentral. Lineage: Bacteria; Bacillati; Bacillota; Bacilli; Lactobacillales; Lactobacillaceae.
UUGAUUGGUGCUUGCAUCAUGAUUUACAUUUGAGUGAGUGGCGAACUGGUGAGUAACACGUGGGAAACCUGCCCAGAAGCGGGGGAUAACACCUGGAAACAGAUGCUAAUACCGCAUAACAACUUGGACCGCAUGGUCCGAGCUUGAAAGAUGGCUUCGGCUAUCACUUUUGGAUGGUCCCGCGGCGUAUUAGCUAGAUGGUGGGGUAACGGCUCACCAUGGCAAUGAUACGUAGCCGACCUGAGAGGGUAAUCGGCCACAUUGGGACUGAGACACGGCCCAAACUCCUACGGGAGGCAGCAGUAGGGAAUCUUCCACAAUGGACGAAAGUCUGAUGGAGCAACGCCGCGUGAGUGAAGAAGGGUUUCGGCUCGUAAAACUCUGUUGUUAAAGAAGAACAUAUCUGAGAGUAACUGUUCAGGUAUUGACGGUAUUUAACCAGAAAGCCACGGCUAACUACGUGCCAGCAGCCGCGGUAAUACGUAGGUGGCAAGCGUUGUCCGGAUUUAUUGGGCGUAAAGCGAGCGCAGGCGGUUUUUUAAGUCUGAUGUGAAAGCCUUCGGCUCAACCGAAGAAGUGCAUCGGAAACUGGGAAACUUGAGUGCAGAAGAGGACAGUGGAACUCCAUGUGUAGCGGUGAAAUGCGUAGAUAUAUGGAAGAACACCAGUGGCGAAGGCGGCUGUCUGGUCUGUAACUGACGCUGAGGCUCGAAAGUAUGGGUAGCAAACAGGAUUAGAUACCCUGGUAGUCCAUACCGUAAACGAUGAAUGCUAAGUGUUGGAGGGUUUCCGCCCUUCAGUGCUGCAGCUAACGCAUUAAGCAUUCCGCCUGGGGAGUACGGCCGCAAGGCUGAAACUCAAAGGAAUUGACGGGGGCCCGCACAAGCGGUGGAGCAUGUGGUUUAAUUCGAAGCUACGCGAAGAACCUUACCAGGUCUUGACAUACUAUGCAAAUCUAAGAGAUUAGACGUUCCCUUCGGGGACAUGGAUACAGGUGGUGCAUGGUUGUCGUCAGCUCGUGUCGUGAGAUGUUGGGUUAAGUCCCGCAACGAGCGCAACCCUUAUUAUCAGUUGCCAGCAUUAAGUUGGGCACUCUGGUGAGACUGCCGGUGACAAACCGGAGGAAGGUGGGGAUGACGUCAAAUCAUCAUGCCCCUUAUGACCUGGGCUACACACGUGCUACAAUGGAUGGUACAACGAGUUGCGAACUCGCGAGAGUAAGCUAAUCUCUUAAAGCCAUUCUCAGUUCGGAUUGUAGGCUGCAACUCGCCUACAUGAAGUCGGAAUCGCUAGUAAUCGCGGAUCAGCAUGCCGCGGUGAAUACGUUCCCGGGCCUUGUACACACCGCCCGUCACACCAUGAGAGUUUGUAACACCCAAAGUCGGUG